CCUGCAAGUCGACAGUUAAAUUCAAGUCCACAGUCCCAAUAUGUUUUCUGCAGUCGAAUGUGGCUGUGUAAUUUCUCUGCAGGCAGAAUCAAUUCAACCGGCCCGAAUCACGGUAUUCAAGAUUAAUCUUCCGUGUUAGUUUAAAGUAAUUUAAUCCAACGUGUCGGUAAUUGACGGCUCCAUGUCACGCUGUUAUCAGUCGUGGGUCGGAGAUACCUGUCGUAUUUCAGUUGCAGGACAAGGUAGAGCAGUGUCCUUGAAGUGUCGUCAUGGAUCAACACAACUGAAGUUCAAAACAGCCUAGCAGACGUCACUACAAUCCUGAGCACCUGACGUCAUUUUACUCCUGAACUUCUGACGUCACAUCUGAUUCUGACGUCAUUUUACGCGUGAAAUCUAACGUCAUCAAACGCACCUGACGUCUUGACUAGCCAGUUAGACGUAGAUCUAGUUGUCUUUGACGAUACACAACUUCCUAGCUCGGUGCUGAAGUAAACAGCUUGACUAUCAACAAGCGGGGGGAAUAACCAAUGUUGGAUGAUCUAGAAAUGACUAAAAUACAAGAUCUAGCACGGAUUACCCGUAUGAUGCGCAUGCGCAUGUGGAUCGUGUCGUUCGCCAUUUUGUUUGGCCUGGGUUAUCUAUUCUUCCUGUUCUACUACCUCAAGACACACCCACACGAUGGCGACUCAGACUCUCAGCCGGAAGUCGUGGGUCCAAGUUAAAGGAUCGAAUCUCACUCAGACAAACUAUCUGAUAGCCUACACUGAUAUAAUACGACAAGUCACCGAUUCUGAAACAACUGGUUUAGUACCUUGUGGUUAGUCAAAACUGGUUCGGUAACAUCUGGUUCAGUAACACUAAACACUGGUUUAGUAACAUAUGGUUCAGUCACAACUGAUUCAGUCAGUACCAUCUGACUCAUUAGCAACUGGUUCAGUAACAUUUGGUUCAGUAACUUGUGGUUAGUCAAAACUGGUUCGGUAACAUUUGGUUCAGUAACUUGUGGUUAGUCAAAACUGGUUCGGUAACAUUUGGUUCAGUAACUUGUGGUUAGUCAAAACUGGUUCGGUAACAUCUGGUUCAGUAACACUUAGUUCAGAAACAUUUGGUCAGUAACAUUUGUUUCAGUAACAUUUGGUUAAAAACUUGUAUCUUACAACCAGCAACAAUUUAUUGGAUCUAAAAACAGCACAGCAACAGACUAUAGAAGAUGUAAAAUUGAUGAACUCUACUCCACCUGUCAAUUUCAGGCCCGAAUUAUACGUCACAACAACAUGCCUAUAUUAUUUAUAUUGUGUGCUGACGUUGUGGAAGAGCAUUUACACGCGCUGCUGUCCAAAAUCGCUCAAUCAUUCUAAAUUCACUGUCAACAAUGCGAAUUUUGUUUUGAUGCCUGAUGUUCGCAGCUGCAGUGAACUGCGGGUCGCAUCCAGUAAAGCAACAACUGUUUUAGUUUGUUUGUUUUGUUUUACCAUGUAAAAUAUAAACAUGAAG
Molecule: long non-coding RNA, 1497 nt
Organism: Physella acuta
Lineage: Eukaryota; Metazoa; Mollusca; Gastropoda; Physidae
Source: RefSeq, a predicted model, not a curated record